ACACCAUUGUACCCAAUUAAGAAAAAGCAAGAGAAAAGGAAACCUGUGGUCUACCGUAUGGUAAAUGAUUUGAGGGUAAUUAAUGCUGUAACUGAACUCAUUGCCCCUAAUGUUCCCAACCCACACACCUUGUUAGCACAAAUACCACCUUUCUCUAAGGUAUUUACUGUUUUUGACUUGGCAAAUGCAUUUUUCAGUGUCCCCCUGGAUCCCGAC
Molecule: long non-coding RNA, 216 nt
Filed under: Pelobates cultripes (western spadefoot toad)
Lineage: Eukaryota; Metazoa; Chordata; Amphibia; Anura; Pelobatidae
Source: RNAcentral